AACUUAAAGGAAUUGACGGGGCCCGCACAAGCGGUGAGCAUGUGGUUUAAUCGAAGCAACGCGAGGAACCUUACCAGGGCUUGACAUACACUGGAAUGGGCGUGAAAGCGUCCAGCCCCUCGGGGCCGGUGUACAGGUGCUGCAUGGCUGUCGUCAGCUCGUGCUGUGAAGUGUUGGGUUAAGUCCCGUAACGAGCGCAACCCUUGUCCUUAGUUACCAGCACGUUAUGGUGGGCACUCUAAGGAGACUGCCGGUGACAAACCGGAGGAAGGUGGGGAUGACGUCAAGUCAUCAUGGCCCUUACGGCCUGGGCUACACACGUGCUACAAUGGUCGGUACAAAGGGUUGCCAAGCCGCGAGGUGGAGCUAAUCCCAUAAAACCGAUCGUAGUCCGGAUCGCAGUCUGCAACUCGACUGCGUGAAGUCGGAAUCGCUAGUAAUCGUGAAUCAGAAUGUCACGGUGAAUACGUUCCCGGGCCUU
This 481-nucleotide ribosomal RNA is filed under the name uncultured Pseudomonas sp. RNAcentral's name for it is "bacterial SSU rRNA". It matches the Rfam family "Bacterial small subunit ribosomal RNA", at positions 898 to 1382 of the family's 1533-position model. Lineage: Bacteria; Pseudomonadati; Pseudomonadota; Gammaproteobacteria; Pseudomonadales; Pseudomonadaceae. The record is from RNAcentral.